Molecule: ribosomal RNA, 440 nt
Filed under: uncultured bacterium
Lineage: Bacteria
Description: bacterial SSU rRNA
Rfam family: Bacterial small subunit ribosomal RNA
Source: RNAcentral
CCUACGGGAUGCACCAGUGGGGAAUAUUGGACGAUGGGCGAAAGCCUGAUACAGCAAUGCCGCGUGUGUGAAGAAGGUCUUCGGAUUGUAAAGCACUUUCGACGGGGACGGUGAUGACGGUACCCGUAGAAGAAGCCCCGGCUAACUUCGUGCCAGCAGCCGCGGUAAUACGAAGGGGGCUAGCGUUGCUCGGAAUGACUGGGCGUAAAGGGCGCGUAGGCGGUUUAUGCAGUCAGAAGUGAAAUCCCCGGGCUUAACCUGGGAACUGCAUUUGAGGCGCAUAGACUAGAGGUCGAGAGAGGGUUGUGGAAUUCCCAGUGUAGAGGUGAAAUUCGUAGAUAUUGGGAAGAACACCGGUGGCGAAGGCGGCAACCUGGCUCGAUACUGACGCUGAGGCGCGAAAGCGUGGGGAGCAAACAGGAUUAGAUACCCGAGUAGUC